AUUGAACGCUGGCGGCAUGCCUUCACAUGCAAGUCGAACGGCAGCACGGGUGCUUGCACCUGGUGGCGAGUGGCGAACGGGUGAGUAAUACAUCGGAACAUGUCCUGUAGGGGGGGAUAGCCCGGCGAAAGCCGGAUUAAUACCGCAUACGAUCUACGGAUGAAAGCGGGGGACCUUCGGGCCUCGCGCUAUAGGGUUGGCCGAUGGCUGAUUAGCUAGUUGGUGGGGUAAAGGCCUACCAAGGCGACGAUCAGUAGCUGGUCUGAGAGGACGACCAGCCACACUGGGACUGAGACACGGCCCAGACUCCUACGGGAGGCAGCAGUGGGGAAUUUUGGACAAUGGGCGAAAGCCUGAUCCAGCAAUGCCGCGUGUGUGAAGAAGGCCUUCGGGUUGUAGAGCACUUUUGUCCGGAAAGAAAUCCUUGGCCCUAAUACGGUCGGGGGAUGACGGUACCGGAAGAAUAAGCACCGGCUAACUACGUG
Molecule: ribosomal RNA, 485 nt
Filed under: uncultured bacterium
Lineage: Bacteria
Description: partial 16S ribosomal RNA
Rfam family: Bacterial small subunit ribosomal RNA
Source: RNAcentral